CCUACGGGUGGCAGCAGUGAGGAAUAUUGGUCAAUGGACGAGAGUCUGAACCAGCCAAGUAGCGUGAAGGAUGACUGCCCUAUGGGUUGUAAACUUCUUUUAUAGGGGAAUAAAAUGUUCCACGUGUGGGAUUUUGUAUGUACCAUAUGAAUAAGGAUCGGCUAACUCCGUGCCAGCAGCCGCGGUAAUACGGAGGAUCCGAGCGUUAUCCGGAUUUAUUGGGUUUAAAGGGAGCGUAGUGGGAUUGUUAAGUCAGUUGUGAAAGUUUGCGGCUCAACCGUAAAAUUGCAGUUGAAACUGGCAGUCUUGAGUACAGUAGAGGUGGGCGGAAUUCGUGGUGUAGCGGUGAAAUGCUUAGAUAUCACGAAGAACUCCGAUUGCGAAGGCAGUUCACUGGACUGCAACUGACACUGAGGCUCGAAAGUGUGGGUAUCAAACAGGAUUAGAUACCCUUGUAGUC
RNAcentral lists this ribosomal RNA (460 nucleotides) under uncultured bacterium. RNAcentral's name for it is "partial 16S ribosomal RNA". It matches the Rfam family "Bacterial small subunit ribosomal RNA", at positions 338 to 795 of the family's 1533-position model. The record is from RNAcentral.